RNAcentral lists this long non-coding RNA (1080 nucleotides) under Sus scrofa (pig). RNAcentral's name for it is "lncRNA (ENSSSCG00030043406.1)". Lineage: Eukaryota; Metazoa; Chordata; Mammalia; Artiodactyla; Suidae. The record is from RNAcentral.
AUGUCUCUCUUUCUCUUUUCUUUUUUGGCCACCAGGAGCAUAUGGAGUUCCUUGGCCAGGGAUAAGAUCCAAACCACAGUUGUGACCGACACCACAGCUUUGGAUCCGUUAACCCACUGUUCCUGCCAGGGAUCUAACCUGUGUCCUGGUGCUUGCAGAGAUGCCACUGAUCCCGUUUCACCACAGCAGGAACUCCUUAGUUGUUAUAACUGGAAAGUCCAGGCGGCUUCUAGGAAUUGAAAACCAGCCCAUCACAUGACACCACUGUGAGUUUGCCAGUGUGGUUUCCUCUGUGCGGCAGGAGUGCAUUUACCAUGCUAUGAGUCUACUGUCGCAAGGAAGAUGACUUUUCAGAAGGCGAAUUUGGGGGGAGUUCCUUCCCGUCAUGGCUCAGUGGAAACAAAUCUGACUGGUAUCCAUGAGGACACAGGUUCAAUUCUGGCCUCGCUCAGUGGGUUAAGGAUCUGGCAUUGCCGUGAGCUGUGGUGUAGGUCGCAGAUGUGGCUCGGAUCUGACGUUGCUGUGGCUGAGGCUGUGGUGUAGGCCAGUGGCUACAGCUCUGAUUGGACCCCUAGCCUGGGAACCUCCAUAUGCGGCAGGUGUGGCCCUAAAAAGACCAAAAAAAAAAAAAGGGGGNGGCAGGCAAAUUUGGGGAAGAUGAGAGACUCAGAACAUGAGAGGCUCCUGUUCUUAAGCAAAUGUUUCAUUUCUACAGAUUCCUCACAGUUAAAACAACAAAAUAGGACGGAUGUGAUGGCAGAUACCCUCUUAACUGAAGUCACUAUUGUCAAUAUGAGAAGGUCCCCUCUGAGCCACCCAAAGAAAAUCUUCCCACAGGCCUGAAAGGCCUCUAAUUAGCAAUUCACUCCUUUGCCUUGUGUCAUCGAAUAUGCAAAUAUUCCUGGGAGGGCCACCACAUUAAGUGGCUGACACCAUGGUGCAACCCAGUUUUAUCAGAUGGCUGCUUUCCUGUGUGGCAGGAAGGGUGAGCCGCCCCUGAUAAGCCCAGCAAGUCCUUGCCACCAGGAAGGGGAGUGGGUGGCAGACGAGCUCCCAGUCUCACUGGUGAUCAAAGCAGCU